RNAcentral lists this ribosomal RNA (167 nucleotides) under Solanum melongena (eggplant). RNAcentral describes it as "5.8S ribosomal RNA". It matches the Rfam family "5.8S ribosomal RNA". From Rfam's summary of the family: 5.8S ribosomal RNA (5.8S rRNA) is a component of the large subunit of the eukaryotic ribosome. Lineage: Eukaryota; Viridiplantae; Streptophyta; Magnoliopsida; Solanales; Solanaceae. The record is from RNAcentral.
CAAAAACGACUCUCGGCAACGGAUAUCUCGGCUCUCGCAUCGAUGAAGAACGUAGCGAAAUGCGAUACUUGGUGUGAAUUGCAGAAUCCCGUGAACCAUCGAGUCUUUGAACGCAAGUUGCGCCCGAAGCCGUCAGGCCGAGGGCACGUCUGCCUGGGCGUCACGCA